Molecule: non-coding RNA, 24 nt
Filed under: Arabidopsis thaliana (thale cress)
Lineage: Eukaryota; Viridiplantae; Streptophyta; Magnoliopsida; Brassicales; Brassicaceae
Source: RNAcentral
AGUAUUUGUCGUUGUUGUGUGAGC